Raphanus sativus (radish) is the source of this 864-nucleotide long non-coding RNA. RefSeq lists it as uncharacterized. The transcript has 3 exons. The record is from RefSeq and is a predicted model, not a curated record. NCBI's taxonomy places the organism in Eukaryota, Viridiplantae, Streptophyta, Magnoliopsida, Brassicales, Brassicaceae.
CAAAUUUUUUUAGUGUCGACAAAACAAAUUAAUUUUGUUCCUAAAAUUUCUGAAUUUCCAAAUAAAUAAAAUCUAAAUUCCUAAAUUUUCUCCAUUAUCAUCCCACGUUCAAAACUAAUCACAAUUUAAACUGUUUUGUUGUCGAUCUAUUUGCAAAAAAAAAGUUCUAUAUUAAUCUUCUCUUUCUACUUCAUCUCUGUUUCUGCUAUUCCAUCGUUUCAUAUUUUUUUUUUUACGAUUGAGAUCUUUGACUGAAACAAAAAAAAAUACAUAUUUGAUUAUUCUUAAUUAAUAAUCCUUUUUCACAGAUUUCAAAUUUCAAAUAGCGUUUGAGUGAACUCAUGUUUCAAAUCUUAGCUCUUCAAUUAAAGAAGGCAAAUCAAAGGUUCCUCGGCAGCAAAGGGAAGGAGAGUUAGAGGCUCACCUUUAAAUCACACGUAUAUGGCUCCUAAAAACUCGAGAAGGACCGAAACAAGAAGAAAAAAUUGGUGAUAGUAAAAUAACUCGGGGCGGGUGAUAGAAGAACGAGGACUAUGUCUAUUAUCUAGAUUAAGAUCUAACCUCAGGAAAAUCAUAUUGCAUUUGCCUGGAGUUUUAGAAGAGUGGAAGCUUGCUCAAGAUGUCAUCGUUCAGGAUACAAUCGUGCGAGAUGCGACUUUGGAAUUUGACGUCUUUCUGUUCUAAAUGUUUUUUCUGCAACAUUUGUUUUUUUUUGGUUACUCUAGGUUUUGGUAACUGUUUUAGUUUUUAUUUGACAAUAAGGUUUGAUUAUUUUCACAACACAUGUUAUGUUUUCCAUUUGUUCUACACCUUUAAAGAACUAUGAUUCUGUUCAAGUUCAACAUAAGUGUCGUUAAUGCUAGA